GGCGGGGUUGACGGCGGUGCGGACGGCGCGCCGCUGGGUGCGGCGGACGGUCCGGCGCCGGCCGUCUGGGCCUGCUGGAAGCGGGUCAUCGCCUC
RNAcentral lists this transfer RNA (95 nucleotides) under Actinoplanes octamycinicus. Its description in RNAcentral is "tRNA-Pro". Lineage: Bacteria; Bacillati; Actinomycetota; Actinomycetes; Micromonosporales; Micromonosporaceae. The record is from RNAcentral.